GGAGGAGCCCAGAGCCUGAAUCAGUGUGUGUGUUAGUGGAAGCGUCUGGAAAGGCGCGCGAUACAGGGUGACAGCCCCGUACACAAAAAUGCACAUGCUGUGAGCUCGAUGAGUAGGGCGGGACACGUGGUAUCCUGUCUGAAUAUGGGGGGACCAUCCUCCAAGGCUAAAUACUCCUGACUGACCGAUAGUGAACCAGUACCGUGAGGGAAAGGCGAAAAGAACCCCGGCGAGGGGAGUGAAAAAGAACCUGAAACCGUGUACGUACAAGCAGUGGGAGCACAGAGCAAUCUGUGUGACUGCGUACCUUUUGUAUAAUGGGUCAGCGACUUAUAUUCUGUAGCAAGGUUAACCGAAUAGGGGAGCCGAAGGGAAACCGAGUCUUAACUGGGCGUUAAGUUGCAGGGUAUAGACCCGAAACCCGGUGAUCUAGCCAUGGGCAGGUUGAAGGUUGGGUAACACUAACUGGAGGACCGAACCGACUAAUGUUGAAAAAUUAGCGGAUGACUUGUGGCUGGGGGUGAAAGGCCAAUCAAACCGGGAGAUAGCUGGUUCUCCCCGAAAGCUAUUUAGGUAGCGCCUCGUGAAUUCAUCUCCGGGGGUAGAGCACUGUUUCGGCAAGGGGGUCAUCCCGACUUACCAACCCGAUGCAAACUGCGAAUACCGGAGAAUGUUAUCACGGGAGACACACGGCGGGUGCUAACGUCCGUCGUGAAGAGGGAAACAACCCAGACCGCCAGCUAAGGUCCCAAAGUCAUGGUUAAGUGGGAAACGAUGUGGGAAGGCCCAGACAGCCAGGAUGUUGGCUUAGAAGCAGCCAUCAUUUAAAGAAAGCGUAAUAGCUCACUGGUCGAGUCGGCCUGCGCGGAAGAUGUAACGGGGCUAAACCAUGCACCGAAGCUGCGGCAGCGACACUGUGUGUUGUUGGGUAGGGGAGCGUUCUGUAAGCCUGUGAAGGUGUGCUGUGAGGCAUGCUGGAGGUAUCAGAAGUGCGAAUGCUGACAUAAGUAACGAUAAAGCGGGUGAAAAGCCCGCUCGCCGGAAGACCAAGGGUUCCUGUCCAACGUUAAUCGGGGCAGGGUGAGUCGACCCCUAAGGCGAGGCCGAAAGGCGUAGUCGAUGGGAAACAGGUUAAUAUUCCUGUACUUGGUGUUACUGCGAAGGGGGGACGGAGAAGGCUAUGUUGGCCGGGCGACGGUUGUCCCGGUUUAAGCGUGUAGGCUGGUUUUCCAGGCAAAUCCGGAAAAUCAAGGCUGAGGCGUGAUGACGAGGCACUACGGUGCUGAAGCAACAAAUGCCCUGCUUCCAGGAAAAGCCUCUAAGCAUCAGGUAACAUCAAAUCGUACCCCAAACCGACACAGGUGGUCAGGUAGAGAAUACCAAGGCGCUUGAGAGAACUCGGGUGAAGGAACUAGGCAAAAUGGUGCCGUAACUUCGGGAGAAGGCACGCUGAUAUGUAGGUGAAGUCCCUCGCGGAUGGAGCUGAAAUCAGUCGAAGAUACCAGCUGGCUGCAACUGUUUAUUAAAAACACAGCACUGUGCAAACACGAAAGUGGACGUAUACGGUGUGACGCCUGCCCGGUGCCGGAAGGUUAAUUGAUGGGGUCAGCGCAAGCGAAGCUCUUGAUCGAAGCCCCGGUAAACGGCGGCCGUAACUAUAACGGUCCUAAGGUAGCGAAAUUCCUUGUCGGGUAAGUUCCGACCUGCACGAAUGGCGUAAUGAUGGCCAGGCUGUCUCCACCCGAGACUCAGUGAAAUUGAACUCGCUGUGAAGAUGCAGUGUACCCGCGGCAAGACGGAAAGACCCCGUGAACCUUUACUAUAGCUUGACACUGAACAUUGAGCCUUGAUGUGUAGGAUAGGUGGGAGGCUUUGAAGUGUGGACGCCAGUCUGCAUGGAGCCGACCUUGAAAUACCACCCUUUAAUGUUUGAUGUUCUAACGUGGACCCGUGAUCCGGGUUGCGGACAGUGUCUGGUGGGUAGUUUGACUGGGGCGGUCUCCUCCUAAAGAGUAACGGAGGAGCACGAAGGUUGGCUAAUCCUGGUCGGACAUCAGGAGGUUAGUGCAAUGGCAUAAGCCAGCUUGACUGCGAGCGUGACGGCGCGAGCAGGUGCGAAAGCAGGUCAUAGUGAUCCGGUGGUUCUGAAUGGAAGGGCCAUCGCUCAACGGAUAAAAGGUACUCCGGGGAUAACAGGCUGAUACCGCCCAAGAGUUCAUAUCGACGGCGGUGUUUGGCACCUCGAUGUCGGCUCAUCACAUCCUGGGGCUGAAGUAGGUCCCAAGGGUAUGGCUGUUCGCCAUUUAAAGUGGUACGCGAGCUGGGUUUAGAACGUCGUGAGACAGUUCGGUCCCUAUCUGCCGUGGGCGCUGGAGAACUGAGGGGGGCUGCUCCUAGUACGAGAGGACCGGAGUGGACGCAUCACUGGUGUUCGGGUUGUCAUGCCAAUGGCACUGCCCGGUAGCUAAAUGCGGAAGAGAUAAGUGCUGAAAGCAUCUAAGCACGAAACUUGCCCCGAGAUGAGUUCUCCCUGACCCUUUAAGGGUCCUGAAGGAACGUUGAAGACGACGACGUUGAUAGGCCGGGUGUGUAAGCGCAGCGAUGCGUUGAGCUAACCGGUACUAAUGAACCGUGAGGCUUAACCUU
This 2646-nucleotide ribosomal RNA is filed under the name Escherichia coli. RNAcentral's name for it is "partial 23S ribosomal RNA". It matches the Rfam family "Bacterial large subunit ribosomal RNA". The record is from RNAcentral. Lineage: Bacteria; Pseudomonadati; Pseudomonadota; Gammaproteobacteria; Enterobacterales; Enterobacteriaceae.